Molecule: ribosomal RNA, 396 nt
Filed under: uncultured bacterium
Lineage: Bacteria
Description: bacterial SSU rRNA
Rfam family: Bacterial small subunit ribosomal RNA
Source: RNAcentral
GACGAACGCUGGCGGCGCGCCUAACACAUGCAAGUCGAGCGAGAACCAGAGCUUCGGUUCUGGGGAAAGCGGCGAACGGGUGAGUAACACGUGGGUAAUCUGCCCUCGGCGCCGGGAUAGCCCGGGGAAACCCGGAUUAAUACCGGAUGGCCUCUCGCGCUCUCGGGCGCGAAAGAAAAGGUGGCUUCGGCUUCUGGCCGAGGAUGAGCCCGCGGCCGAUUAGCUUGUUGGUGAGGUAAUGGCNCACCAAGGCUCCGAUCGGUAGCUGGUCUGAGAGGACGAUCAGCCACACUGGGACUGAGACACGGCCCAGACUCCUACGGGAGGCAGCAGUGGGGAAUCUUGCGCAAUGGGCGAAAGCCUGACGCAGCGACGCCGCGUGCGGGAAGAAGGCCU